UACAGAGGUCUCAAGCGUUGUUCGGAUUCAUUGGGCGUAAAGGGUGCGUAGGCGGCGCGGUAAGUCGGGUGUGAAAUCUCGGAGCUUAACUCCGAAACUGCAUUCGAUACUGCCGUGCUUGAGGACUGGAGAGGAGACUGGAAUUUACGGUGUAGCGGUGAAAUGCGUUGAUAUCCUAAGGAACACCGGUGGCGAAAGCGGCUCACUGGAUCUCUUCUGACGCUGAGGCACGAAAGCUAGGGUAGCGAACGGG
Molecule: ribosomal RNA, 253 nt
Filed under: uncultured bacterium
Lineage: Bacteria
Description: partial 16S ribosomal RNA
Rfam family: Bacterial small subunit ribosomal RNA
Source: RNAcentral